RNAcentral lists this ribosomal RNA (879 nucleotides) under uncultured bacterium. Its description in RNAcentral is "bacterial SSU rRNA". It matches the Rfam family "Bacterial small subunit ribosomal RNA", at positions 8 to 916 of the family's 1533-position model. The record is from RNAcentral.
AGAGUUUGAUCCUGGCUCAGGAUGAACGCUGGCGGCGUGCCUAACACAUGCAAGUCGAGCGAGGACUUCGGUCCUAGCGGCGGACGGGUGAGUAACGCGUGGGUAACCUGCCCUAUACACAUGGAUAACAUACCGAAAGGUAUGCUAAUACAAGAUAAUACAUUGAUAAGGCAUCUUAUUAAUGUCAAAGCUUUAGCGGUAUAGGAUGGACCCGCGUCCCAUUAGCUAGUUGGUGAGGUAACGGCUCACCAAGGCCGCGAUGGGUAGCCGACCUGAGAGGGUGAUCGGCCACACUGGAACUGAGACACGGUCCAGACUCCUACGGGAGGCAGCAGUGGGGAAUAUUGCACAAUGGGCGAAAGCCUGAUGCAGCAACGCCGCGUGAGCGAUGAAGGCCUUCGGGUCGUAAAGCUCUGUCCUAAGGGAAGAAUACUUGACGGUACCUUAGGAGGAAGCCCCGGCUAACUACGUGCCAGCAGCCGCGGUAAUACGUAGGGGGCUAGCGUUAUCCGGAAUUACUGGGCGUAAAGGGUGCGUAGGCGGCCCAACAAGUCAGAGGUGAAAGGCUACGGCUCAACCGUAGUAAGCCUUUGAAACUGUAGGGCUUGAGUGCAGGAGAGGAGAGUAGAAUUCCCAGUGUAGCGGUGAAAUGCGUAGAUAUUGGGAGGAAUACCAGUUGCGAAGGCGGCUCUCUGGACUGUAACUGACGCUGAGGCACGAAAGCGUGGGGAGCGAACAGGAUUAGAUACCCUGGUAGUCCACGCCGUAAACGAUGAGUACUAGGUGUCGGGGGUUACCCCCCUCGGUGCCGCAGCUAACGCAUUAAGUACUCCGCCUGGGAAGUACGCUCGCAAGAGUGAAACUCAAAUGAAUUGACGG